GUUGAUCCUUAAAUAGUGCUCAGCUGAGGCUGAACUUUAUGCAGCUUCCAUUUGGCUCUGGACACUUGAGCAACUGAGUGUCUGACACAUGUACAGAGCCCACAAGCUGCCAUGAGCUAUUUCUACAUGUAACUAGGUGACUACGCCUUGCAGCUUCCCCUACGUUAUAGGCUUUUUAACUUCAUUAUGUGAUCAGGCAUGUUGCCAACUUUGAAGGCCAUUCCACACAUCUGAGUGAUCUGGCUUGCCGUCCAGGUGAUUUAAGUGCCAAUCUUGAUAAAGGUCCGCAUAAGGACCGAAACGUCGAUGAAAUACGGCAUCAACAGUGAACCCGAAUAAAAAUAUACUGAAUUUACAAGUGACUUCAGAGACUAAUUUCUGGGCGUGAGUGCACCUUCCACCUAGGUGGUUGUUGUGGUAUAUUGGUGGCCUCUCAGGUCAUUAGGAGCACCCGCCGUCGUUAUUACUUUUGAUGAGAGUGCAGGAUCU
This is a long non-coding RNA of Pseudophryne corroboree (corroboree frog), 489 nucleotides long. RefSeq lists it as uncharacterized. The record is from RefSeq and is a predicted model, not a curated record. NCBI's taxonomy places the organism in Eukaryota, Metazoa, Chordata, Amphibia, Anura, Myobatrachidae. The transcript has 4 exons.